RNAcentral lists this ribosomal RNA (651 nucleotides) under uncultured Alphaproteobacteria bacterium. RNAcentral's name for it is "SSU rRNA". It matches the Rfam family "Bacterial small subunit ribosomal RNA", at positions 246 to 915 of the family's 1533-position model. The record is from RNAcentral. Lineage: Bacteria; Pseudomonadati; Pseudomonadota; Alphaproteobacteria.
UAGUUGGUGAGGUAAUGGCCCACCAAGGCAACGAUCCAUAGCUGGUUUGAGAGAACGACCAGCCACACUGGGACUGAGACACGGCCCAGACUCCUACGGGAGGCAGCAGUGGGGAAUCUUGGACAAUGGGGGAAACCCUGAUCCAGCCAUGCCGCGUGAGUGAUGAAGGCCUUCGGGUUGUAAAACUCUUUCGCGCGCGACGAUAAUGACGGUAGCGCGAGAAGAAGCUCCGGCUAACUUCGUGCCAGCAGCCGCGGUAAUACGAAGGGGGCUAGCGUUGUUCGGAAUUACUGGGCGUAAAGCGCGCGCAGGCGGCUUCUCAAGUCAGGGGUGAAAGCCCAGAGCUCAACUCUGGAACUGCCUUUGAGACUGAGAGGCUUGAGUACGGGAGAGGUGAGUGGAAUUCCCAGUGUAGAGGUGAAAUUCGUAGAUAUUGGGAAGAACACCGGUGGCGAAGGCGGCUCACUGGCCCGUUACUGACGCUCAGGCGCGACAGCGUGGGGAUCAAACAGGAUUAGAUACCCUGGUAGUCCACGCCGUAAACUAUGAACGCUAGCCGUUGGGUAGCUUGCUAUUCAGUGGCGCAGCUAACGCAUUAAGUUAUCCGCCUGGGGAGUACGGCCGCAAGGUUAAAACUCAAAGGAAUUGACG